This 163-nucleotide unclassified non-coding RNA is filed under the name Limosilactobacillus fermentum. RNAcentral's name for it is "partial contains 16S ribosomal RNA and 16S-23S ribosomal RNA intergenic spacer". The stretch from base 1 to 109 matches the Rfam family "Bacterial small subunit ribosomal RNA", at positions 1426 to 1533 of the family's 1533-position model. The record is from RNAcentral. Lineage: Bacteria; Bacillati; Bacillota; Bacilli; Lactobacillales; Lactobacillaceae.
GUCGGUGGGGUAACCUUUUAGGAGCCAGCCGCCUAAGGUGGGACAGAUGAUUAGGGUGAAGUCGUAACAAGGUAGCCGUAGGAGAACCUGCGGCUGGAUCACCUCCUUUCUAAGGAAUUAAUCGGAAACCUACACAUUGUCGAAACUUUGUUUAGUUUUGAGA